This 638-nucleotide ribosomal RNA is filed under the name uncultured bacterium. Its description in RNAcentral is "bacterial SSU rRNA". It matches the Rfam family "Bacterial small subunit ribosomal RNA", at positions 101 to 755 of the family's 1533-position model. The record is from RNAcentral.
AACGGGUGAGUAACGCGUGAGGAACCUGCCUCAAAGAGGGGGACAACAGUUGGAAACGACUGCUAAUACCGCAUAAGCCCACGGCUCGGCAUCGAGCAGAGGGAAAAGGAGCAAUCCGCUUUGAGAUGGCCUCGCGUCCGAUUAGCUAGUUGGUGAGGUAACGGCCCACCAAGGCGACGAUCGGUAGCCGGACUGAGAGGUUGAACGGCCACAUUGGGACUGAGACACGGCCCAGACUCCUACGGGAGGCAGCAGUGGGGAAUAUUGCACAAUGGGGGAAGCCCUGAUGCAGCGACGCCGCGUGGAGGAAGAAGGUCUUCGGAUUGUAAACUCCUGUUGUUGAGGAAGAUAAUGACGGUACUCAGCAAGGAAGUGACGGCUAACUACGUGCCAGCAGCCGCGGUAAAACGUAGGUCACAAGCGUUGUCCGGAAUUACUGGGUGUAAAGGGAGCGCAGGCGGGAGAACAAGUUGGAAGUGAAAUCCAUGGGCUCAACCCAUGAACUGCUUUCAAAACUGUUUUUCUUGAGUAGUGCAGAGGUAGGCGGAAUUCCCGGUGUAGCGGUGGAAUGCGUAGAUAUCGGGAGGAACACCAGUGGCGAAGGCGGCCUACUGGGCACCAACUGACGCUGAGGCUCG